CCUGCGGCUGGAUCACCUCCUUU
Molecule: non-coding RNA, 23 nt
Filed under: Gallus gallus (chicken)
Lineage: Eukaryota; Metazoa; Chordata; Aves; Galliformes; Phasianidae
Also listed under: 2 other names
Source: RNAcentral